Molecule: transfer RNA, 88 nt
Filed under: Spirochaetia bacterium
Lineage: Bacteria; Pseudomonadati; Spirochaetota; Spirochaetia
Also listed under: 1 other name
Description: tRNA-Ser
Rfam family: tRNA
About the family: Transfer RNA (tRNA) molecules are approximately 80 nucleotides in length. Their secondary structure includes four short double-helical elements and three loops (D, anti-codon, and T loops). Further hydrogen bonds mediate the characteristic L-shaped molecular structure. tRNAs have two regions of fundamental functional importance: the anti-codon, which is responsible for specific mRNA codon recognition, and the 3' end, to which the tRNAs corresponding amino acid is attached (by aminoacyl-tRNA synthetases). tRNAs cope with the degeneracy of the genetic code in two manners: having more than one tRNA (with a specific anti-codon) for a particular amino acid; and 'wobble' base-pairing, i.e. permitting non-standard base-pairing at the 3rd anti-codon position.
Source: RNAcentral
GGAGAGGUGGCUGAGUGGCCGAAAGCGGCAGUUUGCUAAACUGUUGUACGCCAAAAGUGUACCGCGGGUUCGAAUCCCGCCCUCUCCG